RNAcentral lists this transfer RNA (64 nucleotides) under Plagiorchis multiglandularis. RNAcentral's name for it is "tRNA-Gln". Lineage: Eukaryota; Metazoa; Platyhelminthes; Trematoda; Plagiorchiida; Plagiorchiidae. The record is from RNAcentral.
UGUAACUUGGUGUUAUUGUGCAUUUUACAUUUUGGUUGUAAGGGUAAUUGGUUGUUAGUUACAU